UAGUCAGUAAAUGGUAAGCAUAAACCAUUAGGCUUGAAAUGAUCAAUUUCCUCAUUAACAAUAGUAUCAUUAUAGCUGUGCAUCUCGAGAGAAUCAUCUUGUUGACUUUAAAUUAUCUAUUCGAUUUUAAGUUUGUAGAGCUGUAAUAUAUCAUUGAUGUCCAAGUGUGUUAAGCAUGAAUCUUCUUGCUUAACAUUGUUGGUUGGGCGUAAGAUUAGCUACUUGAACUUUCGCCCUCGACAACUACUACAGUAUGGUAGAACUCGAUUUCUUUGUCUUUAAAAAGUCUUUGACAGAUGGAUGAUUGAAUCCCAAGGAGGGACUUUUCGAUAGGAGAUUUCGACAGUGGAAAAAUGUUACGGAAAUCACCUAAAAGUUCAAACUACAUGUUCAUCAUUGACAUUCCCUUGAUAAUACGAGAUGACACAUGUUCAUCAGUAACUUAUAUGUGAUUUCUCCAAAAAGGAGUCAAUAGAUGAGGAGAGAAAAUGGAUGGAGUUUGCCAAUUUGUUAGAGAUGGGCAAAGAAUAUACGAUUUCCACGACAUGCUACGUCUACAGGAAUGCCAAAUUAUGAAUGACGAAGUGGGUGGGAUUCGCUAAUUUGUUACAGCAUUUCUUGCCUGGAUUUGAGUUGGGCCUUGAAGAAAGCACAUGGCACACAUAUGUAUUCACAACUAUACUAUGGGGUGAGCAACUGCAGUCCAUAAAAUGGCUGCCUUAUCAGUCUGCCUUCUCGGACAUGGUUCAUCAGCCUCGACCUCGUAAAUUGUUGACAUAAUUUACAGAUUUUUCUCUUCACUUGGAUGGAACCUCUUUAGGGUUUUGUGAGAACAAGCUUCCAAGAUAUCUGAUGGCGGACGAUGAAUACGACGAUUUGGAGAUGGGGAUUGAUGAGAACAUGGAGGAAUACUCUUGCAAAUGUUGAAGGGGCG
Long non-coding RNA from Beta vulgaris subsp. vulgaris (sugar beet), 934 nucleotides. RefSeq lists it as uncharacterized. Lineage: Eukaryota; Viridiplantae; Streptophyta; Magnoliopsida; Caryophyllales; Amaranthaceae. The transcript has 5 exons. The record is from RefSeq and is a predicted model, not a curated record.